UGAGGGAAUAUUUGGGUCAAUGGGCGGAAGCCUGAACCAGCCAAGUAGCGUGAGGGAUGACUGCCCUAUGGGUUGUAAACCUCUUUUAUAAGGGAAUAAAAUACGGGACGUGUCCUGUUUUGCAUGUACCUUAUGAAUAAGGACCGGCUAAUUCCGUGCCAGCAGCCGCGGUAAUACGGAAGGUCCGGGCGUUAUCCGGAUUUAUUGGGUUUAAAGGGAGCGUAGGCGGGCUGUUAAGUCAGCGGUCAAAUGUCAGGGCCCAACCUUGGCAUGCCGUUGAUACUGGCGGCCUUGAGUUCACACAAGGAAGGUGGAAUUCGUCGUGUAGCGGUGAAAUGCUUAGAUAUGACGAAGAACUCCGAUUGCGAAGGCAGCCUUCUGGGGUGUUACUGACGCUGAGGCUCGAAAGUGCGGGAAUCAAACAGGAUUAGAUACCCUGGUAGU
Molecule: ribosomal RNA, 444 nt
Filed under: uncultured Prevotella sp.
Lineage: Bacteria; Pseudomonadati; Bacteroidota; Bacteroidia; Bacteroidales; Prevotellaceae
Description: bacterial SSU rRNA
Rfam family: Bacterial small subunit ribosomal RNA
Source: RNAcentral